RNAcentral lists this ribosomal RNA (727 nucleotides) under uncultured bacterium. Its description in RNAcentral is "bacterial SSU rRNA". It matches the Rfam family "Bacterial small subunit ribosomal RNA", at positions 108 to 851 of the family's 1533-position model. The record is from RNAcentral.
GAGUAACGCGUGAGGAACCUGCCUCAAAGAGGGGGACAACAGUUGGAAACGACUGCUAAUACCGCAUAAGCCCACGGUGCCGCAUGGUACAGAGGGAAAAGGAGCAAUCCGCUUUGAGAUGGCCUCGCGUCCGAUUAGCUAGUUGGUGAGGUAACGGCCCACCAAGGCGACGAUCGGUAGCCGGACUGAGAGGUUGAACGGCCACAUUGGGACUGAGACACGGCCCAGACUCCUACGGGAGGCAGCAGUGGGGAAUAUUGCACAAUGGGGGAAACCCUGAUGCAGCGACGCCGCGUGGAGGAAGAAGGUCUUCGGAUUGUAAACUCCUGUUGUUGGGGAAGAUAAUGACGGUACCCAACAAGGAAGUGACGGCUAACUACGUGCCAGCAGCCGCGGUAAAACGUAGGUCACAAGCGUUGUCCGGAAUUACUGGGUGUAAAGGGAGCGCAGGCGGGAAGACAAGUUGGAAGUGAAAUCUAUGGGCUCAACCCAUAAACUGCUUUCAAAACUGUUUUUCUUGAGUAGUGCAGAGGUAGGCGGAAUUCCCGGUGUAGCGGUGGAAUGCGUAGAUAUCGGGAGGAACACCAGUGGCGAAGGCGGCCUACUGGGCACCAACUGACGCUGAGGCUCGAAAGUGUGGGUAGCAAACAGGAUUAGAUACCCUGGUAGUCCACACCGUAAACGAUGAUUACUAGGUGUUGGAGGAUUGACCCCUUCAGUGCCGCAG